GAUGAAGAACGUAGCGAAAUGCGAUAAGUAAUGUGAAUUGCAGAAUUCAGUGAAUCAUCGAAUCUUUGAACGCACAUUGCGCCCGCCAGUAUUCUGGCGGGCAUGCCUGUUCGAGCGUCAUUUCAACCAUCAAGCCCCCGGGCUUGUGUUGGGGACCUGCGGCUGCCGCAGGCCCUGAAAAGCAGUGGCGGGCUCGCUGUCACACCGAGCGUAGUAGCACAUCUCGCUCAGGGCGUGCGGCGGGUUCUUGCCGUAAAACAACCCCCCCUUUUCACCAAGGUUGACCUCGGAUCAGGUAGGAAUACCCGCUGAACUUAAGCAUAUCAAUAAGCGGAGGA
RNAcentral lists this unclassified non-coding RNA (338 nucleotides) under soil metagenome. RNAcentral describes it as "partial contains 5.8S ribosomal RNA, internal transcribed spacer 2, and large subunit ribosomal RNA". The stretch from base 1 to 120 matches the Rfam family "5.8S ribosomal RNA", at positions 35 to 154 of the family's 154-position model. The record is from RNAcentral.